RNAcentral lists this ribosomal RNA (465 nucleotides) under Vreelandella stevensii. RNAcentral's name for it is "partial 16S ribosomal RNA". It matches the Rfam family "Bacterial small subunit ribosomal RNA", at positions 338 to 795 of the family's 1533-position model. The record is from RNAcentral. Lineage: Bacteria; Pseudomonadati; Pseudomonadota; Gammaproteobacteria; Oceanospirillales; Halomonadaceae.
CCUACGUGCGGCAGCAGUGGGGAAUAUUGGACAAUGGGCGAAAGCCUGAUCCAGCCAUGCCGCGUGUGUGAAGAAGGCCUUCGGGUUGUAAAGCACUUUCAGUGGGGAAGAAAGCCUUGGGGCUAAUACCCUCGAGGAAGGACAUCACCCACAGAAGAAGCACCGGCUAACUCCGUGCCAGCAGCCGCGGUAAUACGGAGGGUGCGAGCGUUAAUCGGAAUUACUGGGCGUAAAGCGCGCGUAGGCGGUCUGAUAAGCCGGUUGUGAAAGCCCCGGGCUCAACCUGGGAACGGCAUCCGGAACUGUCAGGCUAGAGUGCAGGAGAGGAAGGUAGAAUUCCCGGUGUAGCGGUGCAAUGCGUAGAGAUCGGGAGGAAUACCAGUGGCGAAGGCGGCCUUCUGGACUGACACUGACGCUGAGGUGCGAAAGCGUGGGUAGCAAACAGGAUUAGAUACCCGGGUAGUC